CCGGAAGACCAAGGGUUCCUGUCCAACGUUAAUCGGGGCAGGGUGAGUCGACCCCUAAGGCGAGGCCGAAAGGCGUAGUCGAUGGGAAACAGGUUAAUAUUCCUGUACUUGGUGUUACUGCGAAGGGGGGACGGAGAAGGCUAUGUUAGCCGGGCGACGGUUGUCCCGGUUUAAGCAUGUAGGCGGGAAGUUUAGGUAAAUCCGGACUUCUUUUAACGCUGAGGUG
RNAcentral lists this ribosomal RNA (226 nucleotides) under Mesorhizobium sp. RNAcentral's name for it is "partial 23S ribosomal RNA". It matches the Rfam family "Bacterial large subunit ribosomal RNA", at positions 1337 to 1563 of the family's 2925-position model. The record is from RNAcentral. Lineage: Bacteria; Pseudomonadati; Pseudomonadota; Alphaproteobacteria; Hyphomicrobiales; Phyllobacteriaceae.